RNAcentral lists this ribosomal RNA (500 nucleotides) under uncultured Pezizomycotina. RNAcentral's name for it is "SSU rRNA". It matches the Rfam family "Eukaryotic small subunit ribosomal RNA", at positions 61 to 568 of the family's 1831-position model. Lineage: Eukaryota; Fungi; Ascomycota. The record is from RNAcentral.
UAGUAUAAGCAAUUAUACAGCGAAACUGCGAAUGGCUCAUUAUAUAAGUUAUCGUUUAUUUGAUAGUACCUUACUACUUGGAUAACCGUGGUAAUUCUAGAGCUAAUACAUGCUGAAAAUCCCGACUCCGGAAGGGAUGUAUUUAUUAGAUUCAAAGCCAAUGCCCUCCGGGCUCACUGGUGAUUCAUGAUAACUCCUCGAAUCGCACGGCCUUGCGCCGGCGAUGGUUCAUUCAAAUUUCUUCCCUAUCAACUUUCGAUGUUUGGGUAGUGGCCAAACAUGGUUGCAACGGGUAACGGAGGGUUAGGGCUCGACCCCGGAGAAGGAGCCUGAGAAACGGCUACUACAUCCAAGGAAGGCAGCAGGCGCGCAAAUUACCCAAUCCCGACACGGGGAGGUAGUGACAAUAAAUACUGAUACAGGGCUCUUUUGGGUCUUGUAAUUGGAAUGAGUACAAUUUAAAUCCCUUAACGAGGAACAAUUGGAGGGCAAGUCUGGCC